GACGAACGCUGGCGGCGUGCCUAAUACAUGCAAGUCGAGCGGACGAAUCGAAAGCUUGCUUUUGAUUCGUUAGCGGCGGACGGGUGAGUAACACGUGGGCAACCUGCCCUGUAGACGGGGAUAACACCGAGAAAUCGGUGCUAAUACCGGAUAACACGAAAUGUCGCAUGACGUUUCGUUGAAAGACGGCGCAAGCUGUCGCUACAGGAUGGGCCCGCGGCGCAUUAGCUAGUUGGUGAGGUAACGGCUCACCAAGGCGACGAUGCGUAGCCGACCUGAGAGGGUGAUCGGCCACACGGGGACUGAGACACGGCCCGGACUCCUACGGGAGGCAGCAGUAGGGAAUCUUCCGCAAUGGACGAAAGUCUGACGGAGCAACGCCGCGUGAGCGAAGAAGGCCUUCGGGUCGUAAAGCUCUGUUGUUAGGGAAGAACAAGUAACGCAGUAACUGGCGUUACCGUGACGGUACCUAACGAGAAAGCCACGGCUAACUACGUG
This 498-nucleotide ribosomal RNA is filed under the name uncultured bacterium. RNAcentral describes it as "partial 16S ribosomal RNA". It matches the Rfam family "Bacterial small subunit ribosomal RNA", at positions 28 to 507 of the family's 1533-position model. The record is from RNAcentral.